Molecule: non-coding RNA, 144 nt
Organism: Pelobates cultripes (western spadefoot toad)
Lineage: Eukaryota; Metazoa; Chordata; Amphibia; Anura; Pelobatidae
Source: the annotation of a GenBank genome assembly
GCUUGCACACAACAUAUCUAUCCUUGCACACACCUUGCACACACCUUGCACACACUUUAUAUAUAUAUAUAUGUAUAUAUAUAUAUAAAAAUAUAUCUAUAUAUAUAAAAAGUGUGUGCAAGGAUAGAUAUGUGGUGUGCAAGU